RNAcentral lists this transfer RNA (73 nucleotides) under Serratia phage PS2. It matches the Rfam family "tRNA". From Rfam's summary of the family: Transfer RNA (tRNA) molecules are approximately 80 nucleotides in length. Their secondary structure includes four short double-helical elements and three loops (D, anti-codon, and T loops). The record is from Rfam by way of RNAcentral. Lineage: Duplodnaviria; Heunggongvirae; Uroviricota; Caudoviricetes.
GCCCUUGUAGUGUAGUGGAUAGCACACGAUCGUUCUAAGGUCGGUAGCCUGGGUUCGAAUCCUAGCAGGGGUA